AAAAGUAUGAUGUCCCUAAAGAUGCUAAGGUAAAUGUAUUUAAAGUAUUUUUAACAAGAAGUCACCAAAGGUCUAAAACUCUUGAAACCAUCCAAAUCAAGUAAAUUGGUUAAUGACAGGUGGUAUAUAUGUGGAACCGGAGUUUUCACAUUGUUUAUACUAGUAUCUAGUAUUCAGUGGCUAAAAGUCUAAUACAAUUUUUUCUUUGAAAUUCUUAAACAUCUUUAUGGUUUCGGGCAAUUUAUUCUAUUCGUUUGGGUCUCCUUGAGUAUUUUAUCACCACUGCAAAGUACUCGUACUAAAUUUGUAAGUUUUUUAUUAUUGAACGACAAAAUAGUAACUACCACAUCGUGAAUAAAAUGAGUUAUAUUACUGACUAACUCUCGUUUCGAAAUGCCAUGAAAAUUUCGUUAUCACAGCAGUAUGGCUUUAUCGAUCAUACAAGCUUAUAACAGCUUCUAAAUACUUAAUUAUAUAACAAUUGGGUUAAUUUAGUUUUCUUAACCAACAAAAACACUCGAGAACUUAUUACCGGACAACUAACUACGGGUAUUAUCACUGACAGUCUGUAAAAACUCCAUACAUACUUCUCCUACAUUGACUUAGCUACUUUAGACUUGAUAAGAGAUAUAACAUAUGUCAACGCGUCAUUGAUUAACUACAUAACACGCCAAUUAUAAACUUCUCCCAAAAGAACUUAAGAAUUUCCAUU
Molecule: non-coding RNA, 712 nt
Organism: Schizosaccharomyces pombe (fission yeast)
Lineage: Eukaryota; Fungi; Ascomycota; Schizosaccharomycetes; Schizosaccharomycetales; Schizosaccharomycetaceae
Source: the annotation of a GenBank genome assembly